Molecule: ribosomal RNA, 484 nt
Filed under: uncultured bacterium
Lineage: Bacteria
Description: partial 16S ribosomal RNA
Rfam family: Bacterial small subunit ribosomal RNA
Source: RNAcentral
AUUGAACGCUGGCGGCAGGCCUAACACAUGCAAGUCGAGCGGAUGAAGGGAGCUUGCUCCUGGAUUCAGCGGCGGACGGGUGAGUAAUGCCUAGGAAUCUGCCUGGUAGUGGGGGAUAACGUCCGGAAACGGGCGCUAAUACCGCAUACGACCUGAGGGAGAAAGUGGGGGAUCUUCGGACCUCACGCUAUUUGAUGAGCCUAGGUCGGAUUAGCUAGUUGGUGGGGUAAAGGCCUACCAAGGCGACGAUCCGUAACUGGUCUGAGAGGAUGAUCAGUCACACUGGAACUGAGACACGGUCCAGACUCCUACGGGAGGCAGCAGUGGGGAAUAUUGGACGAUGGGCGAAAGCCUGAUCCAGCCAUGCCGCGUGUGUGAAGAAGGUCUUCGGAUUGUAAAGCACUUUAAGUUGGGAGGAAGGACAGUAAGUUAAUACCUUGCUGUUUUGACGUUACCAACAGAAUAAGCACCGGCUAACUUCGUG